GACAGAGGAUGCAAGCGUUAUCCGGAAUGAUUGGGCGUAAAGCGUCUGUAGGUGGCUUUUCAAGUCCGCCGUCAAAUCCCAGGGCUCAACCCUGGACAGGCGGUGGAAACUACCAAGCUGGAGUACGGUAGGGGCAGAGGGAAUUUCCGGUGGAGCGGUGAAAUGCGCAGAUAUCAGGAGGAACACCGAUGGCGAAGGCAGGUCUCUGGGCCACUACUGACGCUGAGAAGCGAAAGCAUGGGGAGCGAACAGG
RNAcentral lists this ribosomal RNA (253 nucleotides) under uncultured bacterium. RNAcentral describes it as "partial 16S ribosomal RNA". It matches the Rfam family "Bacterial small subunit ribosomal RNA", at positions 524 to 776 of the family's 1533-position model. The record is from RNAcentral.